RNAcentral lists this ribosomal RNA (253 nucleotides) under uncultured bacterium. RNAcentral's name for it is "partial 16S ribosomal RNA". It matches the Rfam family "Bacterial small subunit ribosomal RNA", at positions 524 to 776 of the family's 1533-position model. The record is from RNAcentral.
UACGAAGGGGGCGAGCGUUGUUCGGAAUUACUGGGCGUAAAGGGCGCGUAGGCGGCGAACCAAGUCAGAUGUGAAAGUCCUGGGCUUAACCUGGGGACUGCAUUUGAUACUGGUUUGCUUGAAUUCGGGAGAGGAUAGCGGAAUUCCCAGUGUAGAGGUGAAAUUCGUAGAUAUUGGGAAGAACACCGGUGGCGAAGGCGGCGCUCUGGACCGAGACUGACGCUGAGGCGCGAAAGCGUGGGGAGCAAACAGG